UCAAAAUCUCCUGCUUCUCUGGAGAUGACAAUCCUCUUCUCUAUCCUGGUUUCAGAGAUCCCUCCAUUCAUCGUCUGGUAGCAGAAAGAUUGAUUAAGGAAUAUAAUUUUUAUUGUUAUUUAUUCUAGAAAGUCUGACAGCAGAUUUGAAAUUGGGUUAGUAUUAUAGGUGUGGUAGUAGACAGAUGGGUUAUGGGUAGUCUUAUAGGUGUGGUACUGGACAGAUGGGUUAGUAUUACAGGUGUGGUACUGGACAGAUGGGUUAUGGGUAGUAUUAUAGGUGUGGUACUGGACAGAUGGGUUAUUGGUAGUAUUAUAGGUGUGGUACUGGACAGAUGGGUUAGUAUUAUAGGUGUGGUACUAGAUAGAUGGGUUAGUAUUAUAGGUGUGGUAUUGGACAGAUGGGUUAGUAUUAUAGGUGUGGUACUAGACAGAUGGAUUAGUAUUAUAGGUGUGGUAAUAGACAGAUGGAUUAGUAUUAUAGGUGUGGUACUGGACAGAUGGGUUAUGGGUAGUAUUAUAGAUGUGGAACUAGACAGAUGGGUUAGUAUUAUAGGUGUGGUACUGCACAGAUGGGUUAGUUUUAUAGGUGUGGUACUAGACAGAUGGGUUAUAGGUAGUAUUAUAGGUGUGGUACUGGACAGAUGGGUUAGUAUUAUAGGUGUGGUACUAGACAGAUGGGUUAUGGGUAGUAUAAUAGGUGUGGUACUAGACAGAUGGGUUAUGGGUAGUAUUAUAGGUGUGGUACCAGAAAGAUGGGUUAGUAUUUUAGGUGUGGUUCUGGACAGAUGGGUUAGUAUUAUAGGUGUGGUACUAGACAGAUGGGUUAUGGGUAGUAUUAUAGGUGUGGUACUGGACAGAUGGGUUAGUAUUAUAGGUGUUGUACUAGACAGAUGGUUCAUGGGUAGUAUUAUAGGUGUGGUACUGGACAGAUGGUUUAGUAUUAUAGGUGUGGUACUGGACAGAUGGGUUAGUAUUAUAGGUGUGGUACUGGACAGAUGGGUUAGUAUUAUAGGUGUGGUACUGGACAGAUGGGUUAGUAUUACAGGUGUGGUACUAGACAGAUGGGUUAUGGGUAGUAUUAUACGUGUGGUACUGGACAGAUGGGUUAGUAAUAUAGGUGUGGUACUGGAAAAAUGGGUUAGUAUUAUAGGUGUGGUACUGGACAGAUGGGUUAGUAUUAAAGGUGUGGUACUGGACCGAUGGGUUAGUAUUAUAGGUGUGGUACUGGACAUAUGGGUUAGAUUUAUAGGUGUGGUACUGGACAGAUGGGUUAGUAUUACAGGUGUGGUACUAGAAAGAUGGAUUAUGGGUAGUAUUAUAGGUGUGGUAAUAGACAGAUGGGUUAUGGGUAGUAUUAUAGGUGUGGUACCAGAAAGAUGGGUUAGUAUUAUAGGUGUGGUUCUGGACAGAUGGGUUAGUAUUAUAGGUGUGGUACUAGACAGAUGGGUUAUGGGUAGUAUUAUAGGUGUGGUACUGGACAGAUGGGUUAGUAUUAUAGGUGUUGUACUAGACAGAUGGGUCAUGGGUAGUAUUAUAGGUGUGGUACUGGACAGAUGGUUUAGUAUUAUAGGUGUGGUACUGGACAGAUGGGUUAGUAUUAUAGGUGUGGUACUGGACAGAUGGGUUAGUAUUAUAGGUGUGGUACUGGACAGAUGGGUUAGUAUUACAGGUGUGGUACUAGACAGAUGGGUUAUGGGUAGUAUUAUACGUGUGGUACUGGACAGAUGGGUUAGUAUUAUAGGUGUGGUACUGGACAGAUGGGUUAGUAUUACAGGUGUGGUACUAGAAAGAUGGGUUAUGGGUAGUAUUAUAGGUGUGAUACUAGACAGAUGGAUUAUGGGUAGUAUUAUAGGUGUGGUAAUAGACAGAUGGGUUAUGGGUGGUAUUAUAGGUGUGGUACUAGACAGAUGGGUUAUGGGUUAGUAUUAUAGGUGUGGUACUGGACAGAUGGGUUAGUAUUAUAGGUGUGGUACUGGAUAGAUGGGUUAGUAUUAUAGGUGUUUGUACUGGACAUAUGGUUUGGUAUUAUAGGUGUGGUACUGGACAGAUGGGUUAGUAUUACAGUUGUGGUACUAGAAACAUGGGUUAUGGGUAGUAUUAUAGGUGUGGUACUAGACAGAUGGGUUAUGGGUAGUAUUAUAGGUGUGGUACAAUACAGAUGGGUUAGUAUUAUAGGUGUGGUACUGGACAGAUGGG
This 2198-nucleotide long non-coding RNA is filed under the name Salmo salar (Atlantic salmon). RNAcentral describes it as "lncRNA (ENSSSAG00000085015.1)". Lineage: Eukaryota; Metazoa; Chordata; Actinopteri; Salmoniformes; Salmonidae. The record is from RNAcentral.